UGGGGAAUAUUGGACAAUGGGCGAAAGCCUGAUCCAGCCAUGCCGCGUGAGUGAUGAAGGCCCUAGGGUUGUAAAGCUCUUUUGUGCGGGAAGAUAAUGACGGUACCGCAAGAAUAAGACCCGGCUAACUUCGUGCCAGCAGCCGCGGUAAUACGAAGGGGGCUAGCGUUGCUCGGAAUCACUGGGCGUAAAGGGUGCGUAGGCGGGUUUCUAAGUCAGAGGUGAAAGCCUGGAGCUCAACUCCAGAACUGCCUUUGAUACUGGAACUCUUGAGUUCGGGAGAGGUGACUGGCACUGCGUGUGUAGAGGUGAAAUGCGUAGAGAUUCGCAAGAAAACCAGCGGCGAAAGCGGCUCACUGGCCCGAUACUGACGCUGAGGCACGAAAGCGUGGGGAGCAAACA
This 402-nucleotide ribosomal RNA is filed under the name uncultured bacterium. Its description in RNAcentral is "bacterial SSU rRNA". It matches the Rfam family "Bacterial small subunit ribosomal RNA", at positions 355 to 774 of the family's 1533-position model. The record is from RNAcentral.